This 630-nucleotide ribosomal RNA is filed under the name uncultured Chitinophagaceae bacterium. Its description in RNAcentral is "bacterial SSU rRNA". It matches the Rfam family "Bacterial small subunit ribosomal RNA", at positions 115 to 743 of the family's 1533-position model. Lineage: Bacteria; Pseudomonadati; Bacteroidota; Chitinophagia; Chitinophagales; Chitinophagaceae. The record is from RNAcentral.
ACGUACAGAACCUUCCUUCGAGCGGGGAAUAGCCCAGAGAAAUUUGGACUAAUACCCCAUAGGAUAGUGGAGUGGCAUCACUCAGCUAUUAAAGAUUUAUCACUUGAAGAUGGCUGUGCGUCUGAUUAGGUAGUUGGUGGGGUAACGGCCCACCAAGCCAGCGAUCAGUAACUGGUGUGAGAGCACGACCAGUCACACGGGCACUGAGACACGGGCCCGACUCCUACGGGAGGCAGCAGUAAGGAAUAUUGGUCAAUGGACGCAAGUCUGAACCAGCCAUGCCGCGUGGAGGAUGAAGGUCCUCUGGAUUGUAAACUUCUUUUAUCUGGGACGAAAAAAGGCCUUUCUAGGUCGACUGACGGUACCAGAUGAAUAAGCACCGGCUAACUCCGUGCCAGCAGCCGCGGUAAUACGGAGGGUGCAAGCGUUAUCCGGAUUCACUGGGUUUAAAGGGUGCGUAGGCGGGCAUGUAAGUCCGUGGUGAAAUCUCCGAGCUUAACUCGGAAACUGCCAUGGAUACUAUGUGUCUUGAAUGUUGUGGAGGUGAGCGGAAUAUGUCAUGUAGCGGUGAANUGCUUANAUAUGACGUANAACACCAAUUGCGAANGCAGCUCACUACACAAAUAUUGA